This 181-nucleotide non-coding RNA is filed under the name Bacillus sp. (in: firmicutes). RNAcentral describes it as "Bacillus sp. T-box sequence". It matches the Rfam family "T-box leader". From Rfam's summary of the family: Uncharged tRNA acts as the effector for transcription antitermination of genes in the T-box leader family. T-boxes are found upstream of many aminoacyl-tRNA synthetase genes and some amino acid biosynthetic genes usually in Gram-positive bacteria. Lineage: Bacteria; Bacillati; Bacillota; Bacilli; Caryophanales; Bacillaceae. The record is from RNAcentral.
AAGAUUGCGUUGAAGGAAAAUAGUACUUAUCAAACUCGAUUUAAGCGAACCUAGGGUGGUGUGAGCUAGGGAAUCAAGAGAUAAGGAAGGCGUUCUGGAGCGAUACGGAUAAAGUGGUAAAAGGGGUCGUUAAUCCUUUUACAAAUAGGGUGGAACCGCGGGAGAACCUCUCGUCCCUAUG